UUUAUUUUUACCUCCACUCCUACUCGAUUCAGCCAACUUUAUUUCUCUAAUAGGACCAACUAGAACAAACCUAUUUUCUAGGUUUUCAACCACAGAAGAAAUUUCCUCAACAGGGGUUUCUUGAAUUUUCUCAGUGUCAGAAGACCUAUGUUCUUCACUUUCACUGGCAGACUUAGACGAGUCUGACGCAGAAUUGGAGUCAGAUUCUUGAGUUGAGCUUUC
This 222-nucleotide long non-coding RNA is filed under the name Nicotiana benthamiana. RNAcentral's name for it is "long non-coding RNA (NBEN_LNC018628)". The record is from RNAcentral. Lineage: Eukaryota; Viridiplantae; Streptophyta; Magnoliopsida; Solanales; Solanaceae.